CCUACGGGUGGCUGCAGUGAGGAAUAUUGGUCAAUGGCCGCAGGGCUGAACCAGCCAAGUCGCGUGAGGGAUGACGGUCCUAUGGAUUGUAACCCUCUUUUGUCAGGGAGCAAAGGGCGCCACGUGUGGCGUUUUGCGAGUACCUGAAGAACAAGCAUCGGCUAACUCCGUGCCAGCAGCCCCUAUAAUACGGAGGAUGCGAGCGUUAUCCGGAUUUAUUGGGUUUAAAGGGUGCGCAGGCGGAAUGUCAAGUCAGCGGGAAAAUUUCGGGGCUCAACCCCGUCGUGCCGUUGAAACUGGCGUUAUUGAGGGAGCGAGAAGUAUGCGGAAUGCGUGGUGUAGCGGUGAAAUGCAUAGAUAUCACGCAGAACUCCGAUUGCGAAGGCAGCGCACUGGACUGCAACUGACACUGAUGCUCGAAAGUGUGGGUAUCAAACAGGAUUAGAUACCCCAGUAGUC
This 459-nucleotide ribosomal RNA is filed under the name uncultured bacterium. Its description in RNAcentral is "partial 16S ribosomal RNA". It matches the Rfam family "Bacterial small subunit ribosomal RNA", at positions 338 to 795 of the family's 1533-position model. The record is from RNAcentral.